AUGUGGGGCGACGUGGUGGCGCUCGUCCGGCAGGGCCUGCGGUGGCGGCGGCGCAGGGGGAGGAGGUCUACGGCGCGGGUGGUGGACGAGAGCGCGCUCGGCCUCGGCGAUGCCGGCGCCGCCGCGGCGGUGGCGCCGAGCGUGGGCGGCGCCCUGGCCAGGGCGCUCCUGGCACUAGCGUGCGCCGUCCGCUUCGACGGCGAGGACCUGCCGACGGAGGAAGCCUGGGCGGCGAGCGUAUGGCGGCCACGGGCCGACGAGGUCAGCCACCUCAUGGUGCGCGAGAGCAUGCGCUAUGCCAUCUACGCGUAG
Molecule: ribosomal RNA, 312 nt
Filed under: Triticum aestivum (bread wheat)
Lineage: Eukaryota; Viridiplantae; Streptophyta; Magnoliopsida; Poales; Poaceae
Description: partial small subunit ribosomal RNA
Source: RNAcentral